Molecule: ribosomal RNA, 1191 nt
Filed under: Drosophila melanogaster (fruit fly)
Lineage: Eukaryota; Metazoa; Arthropoda; Insecta; Diptera; Drosophilidae
Description: SSU rRNA
Rfam family: Eukaryotic small subunit ribosomal RNA
Source: RNAcentral
UAUCUCUUAAACGAGUGUUAUUGUGGGCCGGUACUAUUACUUUGAACAAAUUAGAGUGCUUAAAGCAGGCUUCAAAUGCCUGAAUAUUCUGUGCAUGGGAUAAUGAAAUAAGACCUCUGUUCUGCUUUCAUUGGUUUUCAGAUCAAGAGGUAAUGAUUAAUAGAAGCAGUUUGGGGCAUUAGUAUUACGACGCGAGAGGUGAAAUUCUUGGACCGUCGUAAGACAACUUAAGCGAAAGCAUUUGCCAAAGAUGUUUUCAUUAAUCAAGAACGAAAGUUAGAGGUUCGAAGGCGAUCAGAUACCGCCCUAGUUCUAACCAUAAACGAUGCCAGCUAGCAAUUGGGUGUAGCUACUUUUAUGGCUCUCUCAGUCGCUUCCCGGGAAACCAAAGCUUUUGGGCUCCGGGGAAGUAUGGUUGCAAAGCUGAAACUUAAAGGAAUUGACGGAAGGGCACCACCAGGAGUGGAGCCUGCGGCUUAAUUUGACUCAACACGGGAAAACUUACCAGGUCCGAACAUAAGUGUGUAAGACAGAUUGAUAGCUCUUUCUCGAAUCUAUGGGUGGUGGUGCAUGGCCGUUCUUAGUUCGUGGAGUGAUUUGUCUGGUUAAUUCCGAUAACGAACGAGACUCAAAUAUAUUAAAUAGAUAUCUUCAGGAUUAUGGUGCUGAAGCUUAUGUAGCCUUCAUUCAUGUUGCAGUAAAAUGCUUAUUGUGUUUGAAUGUGUUUAUGUAAGUGGAGCCGUACCUGUUGGUUUGUCCCAUUAUAAGGACACUAGCUUCUUAAAUGGACAAAUUGCGUCUAGCAAUAAUGAGAUUGAGCAAUAACAGGUCUGUGAUGCCCUUAGAUGUCCUGGCUGCACGCGCGCUACAAUGAAAGUAUCAACGUGUAUUUCCUAGACCGAGAGGUCCGGGUAAACCGCUGAACCACUUUCAUGCUUGGGAUUGUGAACUGAAACUGUUCACAUGAACUUGGAAUUCCAGUAAGUGUGAGUCAUUAACUCGCAUUGAUUACGUCCCUGCCCUUUGUACACACCGCCCGUCGCUACUACCGAUUGAAUUAUUUAGUGAGGUCUCCGGACGUGAUCACUGUGACGCCUUGCGUGUUACGGUUGUUUCGCAAAAGUUGACCGAACUUGAUUAUUUAGAGGAAGUAAAGUCGUAACAAGGUUUCCGUAGGUGAACCUGCGGAAG